Molecule: ribosomal RNA, 415 nt
Filed under: uncultured bacterium
Lineage: Bacteria
Description: bacterial SSU rRNA
Rfam family: Bacterial small subunit ribosomal RNA
Source: RNAcentral
GGAAUAUUGCGCAAUGGGCGAAAGCCUGACGCAGCGACGCCGCGUGGGGGAUGAAGGUCUUCGGAUUGUAAACCCCUUUCGGGAGGGAAGAUGGGAUGGGGUAACCCAUUCGGACGGUACCUCCAGAAGCAGCCACGGCUAACGUCGUGCCCGCAGCCGCGGUAAUACGAAGGUGGCAAGCGUUGUUCGGAUUUACUGGGCGUACAGGGAGCGUAGGCGGUUGGGUAAGCCCUCCGUGAAAUCUCCAGGCUUAACCUGGAAGGUGCAGAGGGGACUGCUCAGCUAGAGGAUGGGAGAGGAGCGCGGAAUUCCCGGUGUAGCGGUGAAAUGCGUAGAUAUCGGGAGGAACAUCAGUGGCGAAGGCGACUUUCUGGCCCAAUACUGACACUCAUGUGCGAAAGCGUGGGGAGCAAAC